GACGAACGCUGGCGGCGUGCUUAACACAUGCAAGUCGAACGGAAAGGCCCUGCUUUUGUGGGGUGCUCGAGUGGCGAACGGGUGAGUAACACGUGAGUAACCUGCCCUUGACUUUGGGAUAACUUCAGGAAACUGGGGCUAAUACCGGAUAGGAGCUCCUGCUGCAUGGUGGGGGUGGGAAAGUUUCGGCGGUUGGGGAUGGACUCGCGGCUUAUCAGCUUGUUGGUGGGGUAGUGGCUUACCAAGGCUUUGACGGGUAGCCGGCCUGGGAGGGUGACCGGCCACAUUGGGACUGAGAUACGGCCCAGACUCCUACGGGAGGCAGCAGUGGGGAAUAUUGCACAAUGGGCGGAAGCCUGAUGCAGCAACGCCGCGUGCGGGAUGACGGCCUUCGGGUUGUAAACCGCUUUCGCCUGUGACGAAGCGUGAGUGACGGUAAUGGGUAAAGAAGCACCGGCUAACUACGUG
RNAcentral lists this ribosomal RNA (468 nucleotides) under uncultured bacterium. RNAcentral describes it as "partial 16S ribosomal RNA". It matches the Rfam family "Bacterial small subunit ribosomal RNA", at positions 28 to 507 of the family's 1533-position model. The record is from RNAcentral.